GUAGGUGAACCUGCGGAAGGAUCAUUACCGAGUUAGGGUUCGUCCAACGAGCCCGACCUCCCAACCCUUUGUCUAUUUUACCUUGUCGUUGCUUCGGCGGACCGGUCGCGACUAACUGGUCGUGGCCGCCGGGGGUCCACCUCCUGGAGAGCGUCCGCCGAUGGCCCAACCACAAACUCUUAUAUCAAACCGUGUCGUCUGAAUUACUUGAUUAAAAUCAAAAAACAAAACUUUCAACAACGGAUCUCUUGGUUCUG
RNAcentral lists this unclassified non-coding RNA (257 nucleotides) under rhizosphere metagenome. RNAcentral's name for it is "partial ribosomal RNA internal transcribed spacer region". The record is from RNAcentral.